AGUGAACGCUGGCGGUAGGCCUAACACAUGCAAGUCGAACGGCAGCACAGUAAGAGCUUGCUCUUACGGGGGGCGAGUGGCGGACGGGUGAGGAGUACAUCGUAAUCUACUUUUUCGUGGGGGAUAACGUAGGUAAACUUACUCUAAUACCGGAUACGACCUACGGGUGAAAGCAGUGGAUCGUCUGACCUUUCGCGAUUGAAUGAGCCGAUGUCGGAUUAGCUAGUUGGCGGGGUAAAGGCCCACCAAGGCGACGAUCCGUAGCCGGUGUGAGAGGAUGGUAAGCCGCCCUGGAGGUGAGCCACCGUCCAGACUACUACGGGACGCCGCAGAGGCGAAUAUUGGACAAUGGGGGGAAGCAUGGUCCAGUCGUCCCGCGUGGGAGAAGACGGCCUUCGGGUUGUAAAGACGUUUUGUUGGGAAAGAAAAGCAGCAGGUUAAUACCAAGCUGUUCUGACGGUACCCAAAGAAUAAGCACCGGCUAACUUCGUG
Molecule: ribosomal RNA, 492 nt
Filed under: uncultured bacterium
Lineage: Bacteria
Description: partial 16S ribosomal RNA
Rfam family: Bacterial small subunit ribosomal RNA
Source: RNAcentral